Molecule: long non-coding RNA, 1325 nt
Organism: Prosopis cineraria
Lineage: Eukaryota; Viridiplantae; Streptophyta; Magnoliopsida; Fabales; Fabaceae
Exons: 7
Source: RefSeq, a predicted model, not a curated record
GUCAUCAGCUCUAGACUCAUAAUCCGGGAGCAAUGAAUAGUGACGGCUCAUUUUCUCUCUAACUGGCUUGUUUUGUUGCACACUUCCACUCUGAGCACUUCUGACCUUUUUUCCUAAUCCUUCACUCAUUGUCAGGCACUCAGGCUUUGCCAAUCCAAUACGUUUUCUGAAUUCUCCUUUAUCCCUUUGCAUGGUCACAUUAACAUGGGGGCAUAUAAUCAAAAAGAGAAAGCAGCGAAGGACUGGAGUGAACGUCAAAAAUUAGAGAACCUAUAGACUACAUCUGACUAAGUUACGCACUUCCGGAGCAAAUUUGGCCUUUUUCGCAUCUCCAGGUUCACUUGGAAGGUUGUUGCCCCAACACCACGACUUUCGCUGCCUCUGAUUUUUCCUCAUCGGCAUCCUUCUUCUACUCUUCACAAUAUUUUAUGCAAGAGCAUAGUAAAAUUCUCUGUUUGCAAUUGGAGAGGACCUAUGAAAAGGUCGCAUGAUAAAGGCAUCACUUGGUCCGUAGGCUCACCAAAGUCCUAUCAUUGCUCUUCACCACUUCAUUGGAUAGAAACACAGAUGCACACAAUCAAAAAAGGAACGCAGCAAAGGAUUGGGGUUGAUGAAGAACACGGCCAAGAAUUAUGUUGAUUUCCUCUGACUUCCAAAGUUUGGAAGUACUUUCAGGUUUAUGUAUUGACUAAGCUAGAUGCAUGCACAGUCAAGUUUGGAAGUAUUGUUCUGAGAUCGUCACAACUGUGUUUUGCAGUUCACAACCAAGCAAUGAAGACUAAGCAAGAAACAAAGAAGCGGAAAGACCCUUCUCUAGAGAUUAAUGCCUCCUCCUGAGAAAUAUUAAUCAGCAUCGAUCUUGGUUGCCGCUCGGAAUAGCACAAAGGGCCAUCUUGUCGGUAACACCUGAAAAAAUUAGAUAGUAUGACUCCAAAGUGCAAGCUGGAGAAAUAAGAGGUUGGUCUUUAUCUUCAUCCAAGAUCUAAGAAGCACCGAUACAGAGGCAAGCAAGGCAGGAGUUGAUCCUUUUGUUAUUGGAUCCAUUUAAGAUCCAAACAUUUAGGAGGGCAGCCAUAGAGGCAAUUAUGGUGCAAUUAUGAUUUGGAAGGUUGUUAAACCUGAUAAUAAGUCUAUUCCUUUUGAUAUGUCAGCUUAUUAUGUUUUUUGUUAGUUUGAGCUAUAAAAAUAGCAUUUUGUUACUACUAACAAGCAAGUAAAUGUAAUGGAGGACUAAUAAAGCCUUAGUCAUUAGAUUAAUUUCUAUAUAUGAAGCAUCUGUAAAUUUUUAUAUAUUAAUAGCAUGGAUGUUAAUUGUUAUGGUAUUA